GAGGCGGGCGGAGGGUCCGGCUUGCCGAUCUGCGAGCAGGUUUGCGCCAGCAGCGCCAGAGGGCUUUUCUUGGCGUCCAGCUGGGGAAGGCAAGGCAAGGAAGGAGACAGAGGCUGGUUAGACCACGCAGAGCUGGACGCGUCGGGAGGAACUGCGCCCCCACCCCCAAUGCAACACCCACCCAAAGGACAGGCAACGACUCGGAAAGGCCCCCGGGGCGCACGGCGGAGAUCCCGCAAACGGUGCCCCCUUCCCGGCCCUAGUUGCAAAAACACUCCUGCCCCGACUCCCCUACUAUUUUAGGCUACCCCCCUUCUUUUUAGGAGCGCCACCCUUACGGAAAUUCCCUCCGGCGGAACCGGACGGAAGUUUCCCCUCCUGCAAACCCCACAGACGAGCAGAUCCGGCCCCGGUUGGUUCACUCUCCAGACGGGCGCUCGGCUCAUGGAGGGUCCGAACCCGGGUGAAAGAUUCUCCCAGGAACCGAGAGACAAGCAGCCUCGGCGAUUCACACCCGCUGUCUAUCCCCCCCCCGCUCCUUCCCACCCCGAUGGAUCCCGCGAUCACCCGCCUUUGAUCCACAAAGGCUCCGGGCGCGCGCAACGAUCGUUGCCAAAGCCCACGAACCUUGCCUCGCAAAGUUCGGCCCGGGAGAUCGAGGAACGAACAAGCGAUUCCUCCGCCGUCGGAAUUUGUGUUAAAAUCACAGAACUCAAAUAACUCUCUUUGCUUGGGACUCUAUUUAAAAGGAAAGUCCGGGCGAGGAUUUUCUCCCGUCCGGCUCCACAAAUUCAGAGAGAGGGAGAACAGACGGACUUCUAGUCCAAGCCAGGGCGAGAGAUCAGGGUGGGGCUCCCCAAGGGACCGCGGACCGACGCGAGGGAAGCGGGGCGCAGCUCUGGAGGGACGCAGCGACGGCGUGGAAUUUGCCAAUGGAACACCACACGGCAAUUGUUGGCUGAGCGGCUGGGCAGGAUGGAGAUGAAAAGGCUUCCAGGAGAGCUUUCCUGACUCUUGUCUCUUCAGCAGCUGGAACAGGGAUGAGAUGAUAGCUGGUGAUGUAAGAGGAUUCCAGAGCAAUGAGAAAACGAAUGGUGGAGCUGGCCCAAGACGUUUUGAUGCCUGAAGCGAAGCACCAAAUUAUACCCUCCCUAUGGUAGAGAGGUGGUGGACAAAAUGUAAACAGUCUUGUUGCACUAGUUCAGAUGUAGCUUCUUGACUUUAUGUAUUCCCCUAAAUUCUGGCUCCUGAAACAGAAUGCUUCACCAUAGCAGAACUGACACAGUGGGAUAUGAAGAAGUUUCAUCAAAUGUGAUCAAAGGCUCAUCUGACAAUCCCCUUUCAACAAUAAAAUAUGGACACAAUCGAAAGCGUUUGAUAGAUGGUUUUAAAUCUUAGGCUAUUACAUAUUUCUUCAGUCAUGAGUUGCGCUAGCCACUGCCAGAGGUUGGAUACUGGGUUUCGGGGCAGCUUUAUGACAUUUGGCAUAUCAGACAAGAAAUGUAUUUGGGAGUUUCUGGGCUGUCAGAGUUCCUAAGAUAUUGCACCCCAUUUUGUGUACGUGUGUGUGUUUCCUAUUGCCAAAAAAUCCUCUAGCCAACUUGCUCUUCCAAUGUGGUUUAUUUUAGCUGACUACUUUAUUCCAAAGUCCCUUCACUAUCUGAGACUUUAUUUUGCUGAAAGCAUCCAAAUGUAUAAGAAUAAUUAAAGCACCCUUGUUUUGAUGGCUCUCAGGGACAUUUUUCUUAAUGAAUAAGAGUGUCCAAAGCUGGCAAUCAAGAGGAAAGGUAGUGAAACAAUGACCAGGGACUGUCGCUACUUUAUUGGCAAGAAAGCUGCCAGCUCAAGGUAGUUUCAGCAGCAACAAACUGUCAUCAGGAGAUCAAAGAUGAUGAUGAAUGCUGUUCAACAGACUAUUAUGGGGAAUUAUUAUUUCUGAUGAUUCCUUCCUUUUAAACAUACACUCUGCUUCUGCUAUCCUGAGCACAGCACUAACUAUAUGGGCAAUUCAUCCAGUAACCUCAUUGGUGGAGCAUCUGAUGCAGAGAAAGAUACGUAUAAGGCGGCUCACCCUUUCCGUGCUGCAGUAUUGCAGGGUGGAGGAGGGAAUUCAAGCCGGCUGUGCCCUUCCAGAUUGGUGGAGAGGGCAUAAGCCCCACCCGCCCAUCAGGAACUGUAUCCUGGCCUGCUCCCUGGGGAUGCAGGCCAGGGCUUGGACUGUGCCAGGGGCGGAGCCAACACAGUCAAUGGUGGGCUUCCCUCAGAUCCGCCCCUUGCCCAUUUAAGCAGCCAGCACCUGGGGGCUCAGCCUGUUUGUUCCUGCGCCGGGUUUCCCUGCCCACCUACCCUGGGUUUAAGCUGAUAGUCAGUGAUUUUCCUGUGGCUACAGUGGUUGCCAUCCUUCAAGGGGCCGGGUAGGAAUUUUCCCACUGGGCUAAUUGGCACUGACCUGGUGGUUUUGCCUACUGGAUAGCAAUCAUCACAACUGGUUGGGCAUUGGGGCAAUCCUUUGUUUUGGAUGGAGGGGAGGUUGUAGUCUCUGCCUGCCCCUCCAAACGCUGGGGUAUCCCAUGAAAGGGAUCUGGGGGGAAUGGUUAUGUCUGUGUGCCCAGGCGGGGGCCAGGGCUGAAGGCACUCCCCCAGAUGGCGGUCCCUGUGGGGGGGUCACCCUAUUGGAUGUAAGUUUUAGGAGCCCCCACCUGGAUCGACCACGCGUCCCUUCUGGCAGGUGGGCUGGAAGUAUUUUGAUUGCCCCAUGCCCAAGCCAAACCUCUUUCAUCCGUAUCAAUCAA
Non-coding RNA from Podarcis muralis (Common wall lizard), 2792 nucleotides. The record is from RefSeq and is a predicted model, not a curated record. NCBI's taxonomy places the organism in Eukaryota, Metazoa, Chordata, Lepidosauria, Squamata, Lacertidae.